GCCGGGCAUAGUGGCGUGUGCCUGUAGUCCCAGCUGCUCAGGAGGCUGAGGCAGGAGAAUUGCUUGAACCCAGGAGGCGGAGGUUGCAGUGAGCUGACAUGGUGCCACUGUACUCCAGCCUGGGUGACAGAGCGAGACUUGUCUCCA
Molecule: non-coding RNA, 147 nt
Organism: Gorilla gorilla gorilla (western lowland gorilla)
Lineage: Eukaryota; Metazoa; Chordata; Mammalia; Primates; Hominidae
Rfam family: Metazoan signal recognition particle RNA
About the family: The signal recognition particle (SRP) is a universally conserved ribonucleoprotein. It is involved in the co-translational targeting of proteins to membranes.
Source: Rfam